ACUAUAUUGCUGUCAUGCUACAGCUGCUACACGCGUGGCAGUGAAGACGAGGCUACUAUUUGUCGGGCGAGAAAGUCGUCUGCAGUCGGCUUUUCACAAAUUGACAUUACCGCAUUAGAUAUAUCACACGAACAGCGCAACAACCAACCCAGUGGUUUUACGAUUAAUAUAGAUAUCAACACCUUUUAGUUACUGUUAUUAUUUCUGUUUUUUUCUUUCUUCUUCCCCACUCUUACUUAAAUAUUUCAAACUAAAAUUGCAUUAUAAACUACUUUCAUUGAUUGAAACAUAUAUUAUAUAUAUGUUUUUUUUCUUCUUCUUCAGUAGAAGAGGAGUAUAUUAAAUAAUUUGCAAAUCAUUUUUAUUAAGGAUUAAAAAAAAAAAGAAAAGAAUCCCCUAACCCCAGAAGGAGAGGUAUGUCAGUGAUGAAGAUGGUGAUCAAAACAAGUGUGUACUGCGUUUAUAAUUAUGGUUUCACUUGAUAAAGAAAGGUUGUAUUUCCAAAUAAGUCAAGGAAAGAAUAACCAAAAUCAAAUAAGGUUCUUUAACUUAAUUUAUUUCUAUUUUUAUAUAUUUUUUCUCCCCGCGAUCUUCCUAUAUUCAUAAGUUAUUGUCAUCUUUUAAGAAUAGUUACAAAAAAUAUAUAUCAAAAUAUCAAACCCAAUCAAGGUAGAAAAACAUAAAAAAGGCCGUUGUUUAGAAAACACUAGAAACCAGAAUGGUAUCUCAGGCGGAUUUUCAAGUACCACCUCUUCCUCCUCGAUAUCGCUUCAGGGAUUUAAUUUGGGGAGAAUCUGGACAUCAGGACGAAACCAGGUAAAUUAAUUAAUAAUGUUGAAAAGUAUUUCGUUGAAUAUUUCCUUUCUUUUCUCUUUUACUCAUUCUUUGAUUAUAUUUCCUACUUUCGAUUUCUUUUUUUUUGUUUUGUUUUUACCUUUUAUUUUUCAAUUGUCUUUCUCCUCUCCCGUUACCAAUUAUUCGUUUUUCUUUUACAUCUCAGUUUCCUUAUAUUCUUUAUAAAUCUCAUUCCUGACUGUUAAAUACUCUUUAUUUAAUUUCUAAGUUUUACUUUUUUUUUCAUUGACUUUUUUUACUGUCUUUGAUCUUUCUCGCCUGCUGUCAAUAUACUUGUGCCAAUUCGCGUGUUUAUAUACACACACACAUAUAUGUACACACGCUUAUAUAUAUAGAUAUGUGUGCAGUUGUGUAUAUGUGUGCAUAUGCGUGUAAGGAUCGCAACGUGACACAUUGUAACAAUAGUUGUCACGCGUGGCUAUUCAAAAUAUUUCAAUGUGUCGAUAUGAACGGUAAAUUCACAAUAUGUUCUUAUAUGUCAACGUGUAUAGUUCUAUUUUACUGUUUUUAUAUGCAAUUAUAAAUGUUGUUGCUAUAAAUAAAACUAAAGCAUAAACGAAAAUUGUUGCAUCAAAUACAGAUAUGCACGCAUAUUAAAAUAAUGAUUAUGCAUAUAUAAACAAUACAAUGCAUUUAAUGUGCGUGUGUGUGUGCAGUCGCGUGCACAUGCAAAACAUUGUUUUGACGUCCAAUUUCCUUGCUUGCAUGGGUCAGACGGAAUUCGUUGAGGCAGAUUUUCUACGGCUGGAUGAACUUCCUCACAUCAACCUUCACCAGUUUCCCAAGUAAGGGAAUGUGCUUUUUACAGAAAACUGGAAACGAAUAGCAUAAUUUGUAUUACGAUGGUGCUCGCUUUACAAACAUCACGUGAUGUCAUACACACAAACAAAUAUACAUAUGCACGCACGCACAUACUCACACGUAUAUAAUAUAUACACACACACACUCACGACUGCUUUCUUUCAAUUCCCAUUUACUAAAUCCAGUGACAAGACUUUAGUUGGCUCAGGGCUGUUGUAAAAUAAACUCUUGCCCUAAGUGCAGCCCAGUGGAACUGAACCCAAGACCACAUGGCUGGGAAGCUAACUUCUCAACUACAUAGCACCUGUGCAUGAUCCCUAACUUAGUGGUUCAGCAAAAGAGACUGAUAGAAUAAGUAGCAGGCUUACAAAGAAAAAGUCAAGGGGUUGAUUUUUUAAACUAAAAGACAGUACUCCAGCAUGGCCACAGUCAAAAUGACUGAAACAAAUGAAGGAGUCAAAAAGAAGAGUAUAUGUAUAUAUGUAUAUUUAUAUACAGACUGUAUAUACAUAUAUAUAUUAUAUAAAGACUUUCUUACUUUCCGAGUGUUAAACUAAUGCAUCUGUUUGUUGUUUACACACCCGUCUUCAUCUUUUGUUUUGUUUGUUUUGUAAAUUCCAACUAUAUAUUUAUAUAUAUAUAUAUAUAUAUAUAUAUAUAUAUAUAUAUAUAUAUAUAUAUAUAUAUAUAUGAAUAAAAAAUGGAGUUAACGCAGGUUUAAACAAGUAUUUUUACUUUCUACAUAUGUUUCAAAAAUUCCACUGAUACUUAUUCAAAAGAAUAAAAGGUAUAAACAAUGCAAUCUUUACUUGUGAGAUUUUUGCUGCCCUGGUAACUAUUCAUUCAUUUAUCCAUGUUAAUUGUUAACAAGGUAAAAUACACUCAUCUAUUUAUAUAUAUAUAUAUAUAUAUAUAUAUAUAUAUAUAUAUAUAUAUAUAUAUAGUUGGAAUUUACAAAACAAACAAAACAAAAGUCUUUUACGUUUCGAGCUGACGCUCUUCAACAGAGAGGAACAUAGAAAUAAGCAGAUAGAGAAAAUAAAAAGGUUUAGUGGCUCGUGAUAAAUCAUGAUAUAUAAUAUAUAUACAUACUGUAUAUACAUAUCUAUAUAUAUUUAUAUACUGUAUAUACAUACAUAUCUUUAAAUGGCUAAAUCAAAAGAUAUCCAGUAAAGACCCCGAAGAAACUGCACCAGUUUUAUAGUAGGGUUGCAAUUGCAAUAGUUUCUAAUUGUUGCAACUGAAACAUGUGUUGGUCUAUGUAAGACGGUAUAUAAAUUUAAGUAGUAAAGGUAAUGCUAUGCAACUUUGUAGUAAUCCUUAUUAUUAAUAUUGUUAAUAUUUACACUAUAUGGUUACGGAAAUAUAAAGGGUAAAGACCCCCUUCGGUCAUGAAUGACCAUGGGAUUGCACCUAGAAAGUUACCCUCCUAGACACAAGUCCGGGCAAGGUUGUUUAUGGAAGACCAGAAGUCGCCCAUGCACACCAGCCUCCCCUCUCCACGCCACCAGUGUUAUCCAAGGGAAAGACAAAGGUCGAUACAGCUUGGCACCAGUGACGUCGCAACUCAUUUCUACAGCUGAGUGAACUGGAGCAACGUGAAAAUAAAGUGCUUUGCUCAAGAACACAACACGCAGCCCGGACCGGGAUUCGAGCUCACAACCUCACGAUCGUAAGCUCGACGCUCUAACCACUGAGCCAUGCGCCUUCACAUAUAUAUACGGAAAUAUAUAUAUAUAUAUACACACACUUGCUUAUAUACAAAUGUAUAUGCAUUAUAUAUAUGUGUGUAUGUGUGUGUGUAUAUAUAUAUAUAUAUACACACACUUGCUUAUAUACAAAUGUAUAUGCAUUAUAUAUAUGUGUGUAUGUGUGUGUGUGUAUAUAUAUAUAUAUACACACACUUGCUUAUAUAUAAAUGUGUAUACAUUAUAUGUGUGUGUGUAUACAGGGGUUGAAUAAAAUAAUGGAAACGCAUUAAAAUUUCUAACAAAUUUAUGUUAAUACAGAGUAGGACUGCCUUUGGUAGUAAUUACAGCUUGAAUUCUAUAAGGUAUGGACUUGUACAAAGUUUGAAUUGUUUCCAAAGGAAUUUUUGUCCAUUCUUUAGCUAAAACAGUCUUCAGUUCUUGUAGUGAUGAUGGUGGAGGAUAUCGAAUCCUUACUUGUUUUCUACAAUGCACCGUAAAUAUUCAAUAAUAUUGAGAUCUAGGAAAUGUGGUGACUAGAUAAGAUGUUCAACUUCAUUAGAAUGUUCCUUUAAAUGUAAUAAAAUGUUUUAAAAGGAAUUUAAAGUGCCACUGUGAUAACUGUAAACCUACUUUUGGGCUACCCUGUAUAUACAUACAGCAGGGUAUCCAUGUCCAGAUAUAAACAGUUUGCUAAAUGAACAAAUUGGGUAAUGCCUGGUUUUUCUGAAGAAAAUUAAACUCACAUAAUGAGCUGAAAUUUGAUCAAAGGACCAUGAGCUGACUAUGCACAUGUAUAAGUGACUGAGAACCUAUUCACUUAAUGAACUAAAAUUUGAACAACAAAUUGUGAGGAGAUGACACAAUGGUAUACUAAAUGAAUAAACUGUAUAGCAAACAGGUUUUUAGAAGGAAAUUAUAUUCAGCAAAUGGGCUAAAAUUGGAACAACAAACCACAAGUAAACUAAACAUACAUAUAAGUGUCUAGGGGAGUGUGUUCAAAAUGGUUUGUUAGAAUACAUGUAUGUAUUUCAUUAUGCAUAAACAGAUGCAAGACAAAGGGAAAAGAACUCACACUUACAUGCACAUGCACAUACACACACAUACACAUACACGCACACACUCACACUCACACACACACACACACACACACACACACACACACACACAUAGUAUAUACGAGUAAGUGCUGAAAAGUUCCUGGCUUUGGGUAAAAGAAGAUAUAGGAAGAUCUGUUAAUUAUGAUUAUAUUCAACAUAUUCCCUUCUCAGAUUGCAGUAGUUAUUCAUUUUUCCUUAAGCCAUGUAAAAGAACUCAAAAGGUUGAGCUGCUAACCAGGCCUUUCGUGAUUUCCUUGAAAGCCAGGAACUUUUCAGCACAUAUAUUUAUGUAUUUGAUGUUGAUAGAUGGACAAAUAAAACAUUAUUUGGUUCCUUUAUGUGGAAUCUGUGUGUGGCUUAGAACAGAUUACCUUUGUAUUUAAUCCAUUUACUCAUGUAGCAAACAAUUUAGUUAACAGACAGGAUGCUGGAACAGAUAAUGUCCAUGUAUGGAGACAUCACUGUAUAUGUGUAUGUGGCUUGUGCAUCACAUACACUUAUGUGUGAUAUACAUGUGUGUAUGUAUAUAUGCAUGCAUAUAUAUGUGUGUGUGUGUUUACAUUUACAUAUCUAUAGAUAUGUAUAAAUAUAGUCAUCAUAAAAGCAGAAAAUAUUUGUAUAUAUGUGUAUGUUAUAUAUAUAUAUAUAUAAAACUGAGAAUGUGUGUCUGUCUGUGUGUUUCCCUAAAACUUGAGAACUACACAACCAAUUUCAUUCAAAUUUUACAUAUGCCUUACUUAGGGUCCAUGUAGUUUCAUGGGCAAAAAAAUGUUCAACUUCUUGCCUAGGAUGAGCCCAUAGCAGUAUCAUAUCUUCUCCACUAUUUCAGUAUUACGUGUUAAAAGUGAAAGAAAAACAUCUCUCUAGUUUAUGUCAGAUACUUUCACUUUAACAAUAAAAAAUAGAGAUAAUAAUAGCAAUUGAAUUAUAUGUAGUAAGUAAUAAUUAAAAUCAAACUAAAGUAUAAUAUAAUAAUUAAAUCGUAACAUAACAAUUAAAAGUAAAAAUAGCAAUUGGUAUAAAAUUGCAUCAAUGACUUGAACUUGAAUAAGUGGCUUCACAUGAAUGGGAAUAAAUAAAAAAUAAAAUUUAAGUGCAGAAAUGGAAUAGUCCAGAUGGAGCUGUGCACAUACCCUUUACCACGGCUUUUACAUUAGAUUAUCUGCUAAUUAGCUAGCAUUAAGUAUCUAUAUGAAGUUUGGCUGUAUGUAAUGUCUGUUUUCUCGAACAGCCGCUUCUACUGAGUACUGCUGUUGGUUUAUUUCUGAUCCAUAAAGGACUAUAGCUUCAACUGAGUUCUGCUUUUUGAUUCACUGUAAGGUUUGUUGUUAUUAUUAUUACUGUUUAACUAUUGUUAUCGGGUUUGUUGGUUCCUCGUAAGGGAAGCGUUGUUGUGUUGCAUUUGUUAAAUAAUUGUAAACUGUAACCCUCCCCCUUUGGGAGAAGGAGCUUUGGUUAUUGUUUAAAAAUUGAAUUGUGUCCCUGUUUGGGGAAAUUGACAAUAUUUUCACCGUUUAUAUGGAAGCAUUUUUGUUAAAAUGUCUUUGAUAGAAGAAGGUCCAAAAAUGAAUUUCACUGCAGCCGUCAGUGGGCGCAAACUCAUUAAAAUUAAAAUAGAAGAAAUACAAGCCUAUUUCGGAUUGAUCACCGACAAAGAUGGGGAAUCUAGGAUAACACCACCAAACGAAAUAAAAAAUAAAAUUAAAGAAAAGACUAUUGUCUAUAAAGUAUACAAUGUAGAGAAAAAAAAAAGAUUUGAACACCUGCAGGAAAGCACCAUUGAGAAGUGUCUUGGUGCGACUAUGAAAGAUAUCAAGUAUCUAACCAGAGGCAGUAAAUUCACCACAAUAGAAGCAAGGUUUGAGUCAACGGGGCAUGCAAGGGAGUACUCGACUCGAACCUUGCAAAGUGGAAAUAUUUUAUUUUUGCCUUUAUAUCUGGGACGUAGGACGUCCCGAAUAAAAAUUAAAAAUGUCCCCCCAAAAGUAGAGGUAGGCUGGAUUGUAGCCACACUUCUAUACAAGAGGGAGGACAAGAUACAAUUGAUCGAAAUUGCAAGAGACGGGCCUACAACUCCAGUCUGUUAUAUAUUUUGAGUAUUGUUAUCACUAGCGAUAUCAAGAUAUAACUUUGUAUUUUGUAUUUUAUGUGUAGGUGUACAUAUAUAGAUGUACAUGUAAUAUGUACACAUAUCUACAUGCACUAGCACUAUGACCUGGCAACACUGGGUCAUAAUGCUAGUAUAUAUAUAUAUAUAUAUAUACAUAUGUGUGUGUGAGUAUCAUUUGAAGCAUUUGAUGAGAAAGCAGAAAAAGUAGAGGCAUAUAGCACUGAGAAUAACUAGAAGUUUGUACUAAACAACCUAUUGUGUUCUGUGUACCAAAUGUGUCUCAUGCAUAUUUUCAAUCCUCCUAAGGGUAGUGUGCUGAUAGAAGACAUAUAUUGCUAGCUCCAUAAAAGGAGAAUUUUCCAAUUGUUCAAAGCUUUUGAGCAACUGGAAAAUUUAGUGCAGCAGAAAAUUCUAUCAGAUUGCUAGAAAUGAUGUCCUGCAACGGUUUUAGUUAGCAAGGGAUGAAGUAGAAUGUAUGAGGUUUACCAAUGUUUUAUAAUAUGAGCUUCAGUGAUGUGAGGUGUUCCAGUUUACAAGGCUACAUAUCAGAAAGAACUGAGUUGCUAGAGAGAAGAAUAGCAACCUUGCACUUGAUGAUACUGAAAGAAUAGAGAUGUGGAAGUGCAACAGUGAAAGGUUAUUGAAUGUUGAGAAUGCAUGGGAAAAAGAGUGUCUUCCUGGUGAAUACUCAAUAGAGAGACCAGUCAUUCUGAAGGAGUAGAAAACCCCUGGUCUGUUAGGAAUUACUGCUGAGAAGCUUAAAAUAUCUGGAGUUUGAUACUGUUUAGUCACUUAUUUAAUCGAUGAGGAUGUAUUAUAUUCAUUGACAGUUAUAGCAACAUUAUAGUCAAGUGUUAUUAGGGUACAGAAAUAAAGAAGAUGCCUUAGGGAGAGGUAAUUACAGAUGUAUCAAAUUGUCGGACAGGUCAUGAAAGUUACAAAAAUGUUAUAGUUCAGUUAAUUAGGAAGAGAAUUAGCCCACAUGAGAUGCAGUUAGCUUUUUCUGUGUGGGAGAAAUACUACUGAUACUCGCUUCCUAAUGAGAUAACAGCUAGAUAAGUAUUUAGUGAAAAGUAAGCUGCUUUACUGUAGAAAACUUUAGACAUUGUUCCUCUGUCUGUGAUCUGAUACUCCCUAAGGAAGCUAGAAGUAGACAAGUGGCUUGUGAGAGAGCCAUACAAACCAUGUUCAGAGGAGUUGUUAGCAAAGUGAGAGCAACAAGGGCUAUAAGGAAUUCAUUGUAUAGGGAUCCACCAGGUGUUGGUUCUCAGUCCUCUUCUACUUAUCUUAGUCCUCCAAACCAUAAUAGAGAAGUUUAAAACUGGAUACCCAUAGGAACUCUUAUAUGUUGAUGAUCUUGUUCCUAUAGCUGAAUCUCAAGUAGAAUGAAAAUUGGAAUUCUGAAAUCAAAGAACCUCAAAGUUAGAUUAGAAAAGACCAAAGUUUUAGUAUAUAGGAAAAUAAACAGUACUCUACUUCUAUCAGGGAAAUGGCUUUGCUUGAUAUGUUAUCUUCCCUUCUCCCUGGAACCACUUCCUUUUGACACCCAUUCCUCAUUCUUAACAUUGUCCUACCUCAAUCUUCCAUAAAUCACCUUCUCUGUGUUAUAGCUUUCUCUCCCUUGAAUUAAAAUAAUAAUAAUAAUGAAAUUAUUGUAUACAGUGCUCAGGUGCAACACUUGUCAAAAGUACGUAUAAAGCAUAUGCAGUAAUGUACAAAUGUCUGGGAAGUAAACAGUGUAUGAGUCAGAUACAUGCUUGCGUGUGUAUGGUGGGGACAUCCUAUUGACACUCAUACAUGACUAUACCAUUUCAUAUCCACUCCCAACUGUCUCGCACCUUUUUUCCCCAUACUAUACUCACCCUGACAUAUUUAUGAACUCUUCCAACCCAAUCACUAUAUAUCUCUCACCCUCUCUCUCUCUCUCUCUCUCUCUCUCUCUCUGUCUCUCUCUCUCUUGCAACUUUACCACACUCUCCCAUCAUUUAUCUUUCAUCAUUUUCUUAUUUUUAGUUUUAUUAUUCUGCUGCACCUCACUGUUUCUGUACUAACAAUCAUUAACUUCUCUUCCCUGAGCUACUUUUACUGACAUCUUCCCAUUAUUAUCUCCUUUCUCCACCUCUCUGCCUUUAUCCAUCAUUCAUGAAAGUCACCCCUGACAUAUUUCUAACCAUCACUCUAACAUCUUUGUAGCUUUUGCCCAUCCACACUUCCUGAUUUAUCACUGUACUCUCUUCAAUUUUUGUUGUGGUUUCUGUGAUAUUGGGUGACUGCAACUGUAAUCCUUUUGUGUCUUCUUUCUCAUUCUUAGAGUUUCUUCAUAAGUCAGAGAUUGAGAUUUAUUUUGCUUUAAUUAUGGCCUUAUUUAUUUGGGUUUUUUUUUCUUUUUCAUAACUUUUGUUUCUGGAGAGAGAUUUUAUAGUAACAUUUCUCAUGUAGAUAAGUCUCUGUAUUGCACAUAUACACCUUGGUAUUUUAAAUGGUUUUUCUUUUCCUUUUAGUAUGGGGUCAUUUGCAGGAUCUAAAGGUUAAGCAGUGUUGUGUAUAUGUGUCUUUGCUGUAAAGAUCAGUGUAACAAUCACAUUGUCUUUAAUUAUCAAAAUGUUCAGACAAGGAAAUGUCCUUUCAUUUAUUUCUAUUGUGAAUUUGAUCAAUUUAUGAAUGCUAUUGAUUUUUGAAAUCUUUUAAGAUCUUCCUUAUUUCUGUUCUGAAAUAGGAAAGAAUCAUCCAGGAUCGGGGACCCUGUCAAAGGCUUUCUCCAUGUCAACGAAAGCCAGGUACUGGGGUUUAUCUUUGGCUAGGUAUUUCUCCUGCAGCCGUCUUAUCAGAAAUAUAGCAUCAGUGGUGCUUUUCCUCGGCACAAACCCAAACUGCAUCUCAUCUAGACUGACCCUCUCCCUAAUUAGUAGGGCUACAACCCUCUCCAUGACUUCCAUUACCUGAUCCAACAGCUUGAUACCUCUGUUAUUAUUUGUAUCUAAUGCAUCACCUUUACCUUUGUAGCGGUUGACUAUGGUGCUGCUACACCAGUCAUUGGGUAUGACUCCUUCAUGUAUCACCUGGUUGACUGUACAGGUGACUAGGUCAUAGCCGACACUGCCAGAUAUUUUGAGCAUCUCUGCAGUGAUUCCUGAUGGGCCAGGGGCUUUCCCUGUCUUCAUCCCCUUAAUUGCUUUAUCUACCAAGGCACUAUCAAUUUGGAUAGCUGGUCCCUCUGUUGGGUCAGCAUUUGGCAGGCUCUCUUUCUCCCAUUCAUUCUCUUUAUUUAGUAACCUUUCAUAGUCUCCAUACCUCUCUCUUUGCAGCCUCGUUUAAUGCAAGUGAACCAUCAUCCAUGCGGACACAUUUCUCUCCUACAACAUCACGAUUCUCUCUCACACACUGUCUUGCAACACAAAAUACCUCAAGUCUUUGGUCCUCAUGGUGCAGAACAUUGGCAAAUUUUUUCUUAUCUGCUUCCUCUCUGGCUAAAUAAACCUGUCUCCUAGCUUCCCUUCUGACAGUCUGGUACCAUUCCCUGCUACCACCAUUCUUUCAGUCCUUCCAAUCCUGAUUCUUUUCCCUAAUGGCCCUGUCAACAACAUUGUUCUACCACCAUGUUAUCUUGGGUUGAGAGGGGACUUUGCACCAUCCACAGAUCUGGUCAGUGGCCCUCAGCAGGUUGACCUGUAGAAACCUCCAGUUGUCUUCCACAUCAUGUGAUGUUAUAUCCCCCUCUAUUUCGUCAAAGGCUUUGAGUAAAAUGUCUCUGAAUCUCUGUCCAUUUGCAGGAUCUUUAAGCUUUGAGAACCUUCUCCUCCAUGCUGGUCAUUUUCUGGGCAUUCAUUUAGCCCUGAUAUAUAUAUAUAUAUAUAUAUAUAUAUAUAUAUAUAUAUAUAUAUAUAUAUAUAUAGAGAGAGAGAGAGAGAGAGAGAGAGACAUUUAUAUACAUACACACAUUUACGUGUGUGUGUAUAAAUUUAUGCAUGUGUGUAUAUAUUUAUAUGUAUUUAUAUAUAUGUAUAUCUUUCUAUAUGAUACACACACAUAUAUACAUGUGUGUUCCAUUAAUUGAUUAAUUGAUUAAUUUAUUGAUCAAUUAUAUAUAUACAAACCUUUUGAAACAUAUGGUCAAGCCUUUUGAAGCAUAUGUAAGCAAAUAGUCAUGUAAGAAUAUAAUUCUUUAUUCUUUGACUGAUUACUAUAUACAUACAUACAUACAUACAUACAUACAUACAUACAUACAUACAUACAUACAUAUAUAUAUAUAUACACAUACAUAUAUAUACAUACAUACAUACAUACAUAUAUAUAUAUAUAUAUAUAUAUAUAUAUAUAUAUAUUAUAUACAUACAUAUAUAUAUACAUACAUAUAUAUAUAUAUUUACAUAUACCUGGUGCGAUGUGAAAAUUGUCUCCAUUUUAUAUUUUUAAUUCUCCGCAUGCACAUAGUUUGUUUUUGAUUUUGUCAAUUACACAGUAUAGUAGGGUCAGCUGGGCUCCGUAUUUGAGAAAAACAGCACCAUGAUGCAAUUCACUCUGCCAGUGGCUGUCGCAGCUACUACCUAAAACAUAAUUGACUGGAUUUUUAUGUUGAUUUACAAGUCUACCCUUGAUGGAGCCAGAUACAUUCCAAUGUCAGUCAUUUUGGUAGUUUACUGUCUGUUUGAUGUCAAAUUUCUUUUCACCAGUGAACACCAGGUUGGGCAGUGUGCCUUCAGCAAUCUGACACAGGAUAAGACGACUUCUCUCCAUUUUCAUGGCCUUAUAAACUUGCAUGAGCUCAUGACAGUGGAUCAUCUUGAAAAGUUGGGUCCUGAGAUCUUCUUUCAGCACUCAAUACAUCAAUUUUCGAUUUAGUUUUGCUGUGGCAGCCUGUUUUCUAAUGGAACAACAGAGAUUUUGCUGUAUCUUUUCUCUGGAACUUUUGGUAAGCUGAGGAGUCUGCACACUUCUUUUUCAGCCACCAAGGAUUAUUUUCAAGCAAUAUAUCAUGCAAGUACUAUGAAAUGCUAGCUGAGAGCUAUAAAUGAGUCUUCCCUUUGAGUUUGUAUUUAGAGUGCUUGUAACUUCUAAGUCUUUAUGUUAUGGGUAUCGGGUAAUGCGUAAAAUUUGUAAGAAUGUAUAUUUCUGUGUGUGUGUAUGUAUGUGUUUCUGUACAUACAUAUUCAUGUUAAAUGCAAGUUAUUCUAAUGGAUUUGGAAUCCUUCCAAAGCUGUCAGUGAUUAUUUUCAAAUUAAUUUUCAUCAAAGCCCAUCCUCAUCAGUAUCCUCAUUGUUUAAUGUUCAACUUUUCCAUGCUUCCAUGCAUCAGAUGGAAUUUGUUGAAGCAAAAGAAGUGUGCUGAAAAAGAAGUGGAUGCCUUUCCUGUUGUCAACUCUGUUUCCAAGCCUUGUGAGUGGCUAGACAUAUUUUUUUACAGAAGAUUAGAAAUGAACAACAUUGCUAACAUGGAAGUGAUGCUCUUUUAUAACCACCAUGUAAUGUCAAGGCAAAAGAUAUCACAGUUGCACAAACACACAUAGAUACAUAUGUAUACAUAUAUGACAGGCUUCUUUUAGGUUCUAUCUACCAAAUCCACUCACAGGGCUUUGGUUAGUCCAAGGUUAUAGUAGACAACACUUACUCAAGAUGUCACACUGUACACAGUGUACCACAUUUAACAAUGUACUUGCCAUACUGUCUUUUAUCAUAAUAACACAUCAAUCAGGCAAGUUAAUGAUUUGUCUUAUCUAAUCACGGGAACUAUUUUUGUUCGGAGAUAUUACUUUCUGGUGUGAAUGCUAUCUCCUGUAACAUCUCCAGAAUAUACUCGUUAUUCAUGAUAUUUGUAUUAACUCAAUAGAACCUUAAGUGACUUUUUAAUGGCUGUACCCCAGCAUAGCUACAGCCUCUGGCUGAAUCCAAUGAAAGGAAAAGCAAAUAAUGGUAAUAACAAAGGUCAAUAAUGUAAUAAGAGAGUGAAUAAUAACAAAAUAAGUUUUACUGUGAAAACAAAAACAAUUUUGUGAUUGCUACAUGCACUGAAAACCUGAAGAACUUCUGAUAAUGCUGAAACUGGAUGUACAUACCUUUUUUAUAGUAUUUACACCAGAAGGAACAGUUCUAAUUACAAUGACAGUUAAUUGUCAAUUUCCAUUUCACAUAACAGUGUUGUAGCUCCUUAUAAUUGGUUGUUAUUUAAUAUAUUAGUAUAUAAAGCAGUGAGCUGGCAGAGACAUUAGCAAGCUGGGCUAAAUGUUUAGCAGUAUUUCAUCUGUCUUUAUGUUCUGAGUUCAAAUUCCACCGAGGUCGACCUUGUCUUUCAUCCUUUUGGGGCUGAUAAAUUAAGUACCAGUUGCAUAUGGGGAUCGAUCUAACCGACUGGCCCACUCACCAAAAAUUUUGGGUCUUGUGCCUAGAGCAGAAAAGAAUAUUACCAGUAUGUUAGUAAUAUUUAGCACCUACUCUGUUCUAAUAAUGUAUUUUGGAAGAUGAAACAUAUCGGGUUCAUAAUAUGAGGUAAGAAGAGGAAGAAUUCAAGAGAACUGUUGACAAUAAUGAUGUACUUGCCAUACUGUCUUUUAUCAUAAUAACACAUCAAUCAGGCAAGUUAAUGAUUUGUCUUAUCUAAUCAUGAAAUCCUUUUUUUAUGUUCGAAUAUUACUUUCUGGUGUGAAUGCUAUCUCCUAGUAACAUCUCAGAAUAUACUCGUUAUUCAUGAUAAUUGUAUUAACUCAAUGAGAACCAUAACUUGAAAUGUUGAAGGUAGAGAGCUAUGCUUUGCAUCUAAGAGUUCUAAGGACACACACACACCAUGCAUGCAUGCAUAUAUACAUACAUACAUACAUACAUACAUACAUACAUACAUAUGUUUGUAUGUAUAUAUGUAUGAAUGCAUAUAUGUAUCAUCAUCAAUGGCAGCAACAUUAUUUAAUGCCUGUCUUCCACACUGGCUUCCCAACCACACAGUUCCAGGUUCAUUUCCACUGUGUGGUAUCCCAAGCAAGUGUCUUCUACUAUAACUCCUAGAUUUGGAAGAUAUUAGUAUAUAAAGCAGUGAGCUGGCAGAGACAUGUAUGUGGUGCAUGGAUGUGUAGCUGUUUUACUUUCUUCUUGUCUUGACAUUGCUUGAUAGUUGUAAUCAAGUGUCACUAUCAUAUAGGAAGUGUCCAUUGUUUCCAAUCUUCUGUGUAAACAUGCCUUGCCGUGGAGAAAUAUUACUUUACUUGGAGACAAGUGAGGGUUGGCAAAAGCAAAAAAUCCAGUCUUAGAAAAGCCAACUCAAUAAUUCCUUGCAACCAUGUGAGCAAGGAAAAGUAAACAUUGAAAUGAAAGUGGUGUGUGUAUGUGUGUGUGUGUACAUACAUACACACACACAUAGAUAUCUUCACACACACACACACAUAAAGGUUACUGUUUCCUAUCCCCACCUGCCAACUGCUUAUCAAGUUUAUCUUUCUAUUUGUGUGUGUGUGCGUGCGUGUGUGUUUUUCAUGAAGGAAGAUUGCUUAGAAUGUGUGUAGGUAAUCUUGUGUCAUGUAUUUAACGACACACACACACCAUGCAUGCAUGCAUAUAUACAUACAUACAUACUACAUACAUACAUACAUACAUACAUACAUACAUACAUACAUAUGUUUGUAUGUAUAUAUGUAUGAAUGCAUAUAUGUAUCAUCAUCAAUGGCAGCAACAUUAUUUAAUGCCUGUCUUCCACACCUCUUCAGCUGACUCACACCAACUCUCAUGCCAUUCCUCUUACUUUUGAAAUGAAGCCCAAUGUACCGUUAUUAUUUUAUAAGUUAGAGAGUGUGUGUGAAGAAACUAGUACAAGUGUAGAAUAGAAAAGUACUAAAUUAGUGUUUGGACUGAUCAACUUCUUGAACGCCAAGUUCUUAAUCAGGAUAAAGCAAUCCAGCAGAAUAAGAUUUGUCUGUAAGAAAUACAAAGUUCGAGAGAGUAAUAAAGAGUAAAGCUCAUAUGUAUGUGAUUAAGUGUCCAUUGUUUCCAAUCUUCUGUGUAAACAUGCCUUGCCGUAUGGAGAAAUAUUACUUUACUUGGAGACAAGUGAGGGUUGGCAAACACAUGCAAAACACACAAGUCUUAGAAAACCAACUCAAUAAUUCCUUAUAUGCAACCAUGUGAGCAAGGAAAAGUAAACAUUGAAAUGAAAGUGGUGUGUGUAUGUGUGUGUGUGUACAUACAUACACACACACAUAUACACACACAAACACAUAUAUUACUGUUUCCUUAUCCCCACCUGCCAACUGCUUAUCAAGUUUAUCUUUCUAUUUGUGGGACACUCAACAACUGGUUUGGGAGCAUCCGGUGGUGCAGAUGUAUCUCAUUGGGUGAUAAAUAAAUAAAAACAACUCAUUAAAAUUACUGUUCCGCAAUGUAACUUACUGUUUUGUAGAGAGAAAAACCGCCAGACGGAAGAAAAAUCUUCAUAUAUAUAUAGAAGAUCAAAAAUAAAAUUGCAGAAGACAAAAAGAGAAACAAACACAUAAUCCAGCAAAAAAAGCAUUGAAAAUAAUUGUUAACAGAUAUGGAUGUAUAAACGCUCUUGGGCAAGCUGCAUGGCAUGAGUACACGUGCUCACACCAACUCUCAUGCCAUUCCUCUUACUUUUGCACUCAUGAUCACAAACUGAGUUAGUUAUUUACUUGGUGUUUAGAAGAACAGGGAGGUUAAAAGUAAAUUUAAGUCAUCCAAACCUUAAAGUAAAUUAAAUUACAUUAAGUUAAUGGUCACUCAAAAUUCAUUCUCAACCGCAUUGCGCGAAAGUACAUUUAUAUGCAUGCAGACAUCUUGACAGUCGUUCAGAAAUUCUAUUAAUUAUCUUCUCGUUAGUCCACAGAAUAGACAGGGAUUCCUUGGAGCAGAAUACAGCAUCUCCUGGAAAUUACAUUGUAUGUGAUUAAGAAAUUCACUUUGCAAUCAAAUUGUUUUGAGUUCCAUCUUCCUAUAUGGUAUUUAGGGUAAAUGACUUCUUCCAUGGGGUCAGGCUGUGGCAGUACAUUUAUAUACAAGAUUUGUACUCAUACAGAUUCAUCAAAGGAUAUUUUCUGAUUUAUGUCUGCAUGAGCAUUUAUCGUAUUUAUUUGUAUAUAAAGCAUACAUUUACUCCAUUUACUGGCAGUGUUGUGCUAGCUGUACCAUGAGUAUUUCUACUAUUACAAAUUGGUCGAAGUUGGUGAUUAUCAAUGCAGUUUACCUCUCCUUGGUUGGUAUUUAGAUGCAAAUGUUUGCUAGAUCCAGUAGGUGGGUUAUUGAACCUUUGCCACAUUUUGCUAUUGUCUAUGCGAUGCAUAAGCUGCUCUAAAUUAGCAGAGUUGGCAUAGGAUACCUUCAUGGUAUGUUGAUGCUUGUAUGAGCACGUGUAUGUGUGCCAUGCAGCUUGCCCAAGGGCGUUUAUACAACCAUAUCUGUUAACGGUUAUUUUCAAUAUUUUUCUCAUUGGGUUACAUAUUUGUUUCUCCUUUUGUCUUCUGCAAUUUUAUUUUUGAUCUUCUAUAUAUAUAUGAAGAUUUUUCUUCCAUCUGGCUGUUUUUCUCUCAACAAAACAGUAAAUUACAUUGUGGAACAGUCAUUUUAUCAAGUUGUUUUUAUUUAUUUAUCACCCGAUGAGAUACAUCUGCACCACUGGAUGCUCCUGAACCAGUUGUUGAGUGUCCCACAAAAGGAAUUGAUGCUAGAUGUAUAUUCCAUCUUCUGUCCUUCAUUUGUUUUAUAUAUAUAUAUAAGUGUGUGUGUAUAUAUAUGCACACACACACACACACAAACAUUAUGUUUUUUUACUUCUUUCAAUCAUUUGACUGCCACCAUGCUGGAGCACAGCUUUAAAGUGUUUUUAGUUGAAGAAAUCGAACCCAGAAGUUAUUCUUUGUAAGCCUAGUACUUAUUCUAUCGUUCUCUUUUGCCAAACCGCUAAGUUAGGGGGGCACAACAGGCUUCUUUCAGUUUCUGUCUACCAAAUCCACUCACAAGGCCUUGGUCAAGUGAGACUAGCAGAAGACACUUGCCCAACAUGCCAUACAGUGGGACUGAACCUGGAAAUAUGUGAUUGGGAAGCAAGCUUCUUACCACACAACCAUGCCUGCACCUAUGUCACACAGCCAUGCCUCUGUCUAUUAUAUAUAUAUUGGGUCAUCCCAUAAAUAAAGUGUUUUUUUUAUAUACUUCUUUUAUUUUUUAAAAUUAAGAUAAAGUUCUUUUUUAAUUUAAAAUAUACUCACCUUCAUCUUCUACCAUUUAUCUGGUAAGCUUGCAAGGUCCCUCUUCCAAAAUUCACUUGUCUGUGACAAAAAUACUCCUCCAGUACUGUUCUGACCUCAUCUACAGAAUUCAUAUUUUUUCUGUCCAAAUAAUUUUGAAGACUGCUGAAGAGAUGAUAAUCAGAUGGGGCAAUGUCCAGCAGAUAUGGUGGGUGGGAAAUCAUUUCCCAUUCAAACUUCUCCAGUCUUUUGAAUGUCAUCCUUGUUGUAUGCAGCUGAGCAUUAUCCUGAUGGAAGAACUUCUUUCGUCUUGAAACCAAAGAUAGUUGAUUUUCUUCUAGCACUGACUUAAGCCACUCAAGCUGAUCACAGUAGAUCUUGUUUGUUAUUGUUUUGGGGUUUAAAAGUUCAAAGCGGACUAAACCUUUCAUAUCGUACCAAAUCGAUAACAACACCUUAUGUGGGUGAAGGCCUUCUUUAACCUGGGGUGCUGGUGUUUCUCCUUCCCCUACCCACUGUCUUUGGCACUUGAUAUUUUUAUAGAGGACCCAUUUCUUGCCACCAGUCACUAUUCGAUCUAAAAAAGUUCCAUUUAUGAGAUGUGACAGCAAAGAAGAGCACACAUUCACUCUCUGUACACAAUUAGACUUGGAAAGUUUGUGAGGAACCCAUUGUUCCAAUUUGCUAACUUUUCUGAUGGUACACAGGUGUCGACAAAUGGUUGAGUGAUCAAAUCCAAGCUUCUCUGCUAAUUCCUCAACAGUUAUGAUGGGAUUUGUUCCAUCAGGGUUUGCAGGACAUCCUUGCUGAGCUAUACAAGGCUUGUCUUCUAGGGUGUCGUUUCCAGCUUGGAAUUUCUGAAAACACCACUUACACUUAUCAUCCGAUCCCCAUAUACUGAAUUAAUAUUCCCCACACUUUCUGGUGUGUUGUUACCUUUAUUGAACUCAUAAAGCAAAAUAUGCCAAAUAUGAAAUAUGCUCCUUUGUCACUUCUAUUAUAGCUUUGAAAAAAUAACUGUUAAAAUCGAACCACACUCUUCAAAACCUGCACUAAGAAUAAGGACAUAAAAUUACUACCUGCUUUUAUCGCAAGUUGAUACAAGUAGUUUAACCCAUCCCCCUCCUACUUUUAGUUCAUGCAAUUGAAAAAACUGCAUUAUUUAUGAGAUGACCCAAUAAAUAAAUAAAUAAAUAAAUAUAUAUAUAUAUAUAUAUAUAUAUAUAUAUAUCCAGAGAGGUUAAUUUCAUCAUUAAGAACAUGGUGGUAGUAUGUUCUUCUCCAUCUGUAGAUUUUUUAUUACUGAGUUCACUUUGUAAUUUAGAUCUAUCAGUCAGGAGGGGGUUUCUAUUCUUGGUUCAAUGGAAAUUAAAAAAUUGUAUAUGUGGCUGAAGAUUGCUCGACAUUUUAAAACUGAUGUAAUACUUACAGUGUUUAAUAAAAUGAAGUAGCAUGAAACGAUUGUACUACACUACCUUGGAUAUCCUUGUUGCUUAUUUUGAUUAUAAUCACCCCAUUUGAUUUAUAUGGAUAAUACCAUACAAAAUUCUGGUGCCUUCAACUUAAGUACCAUAUUCAUCUGAAUCUAAAUUUUGCUGAACUUAUAUAUAUAUAUAUAUAUAUAUACUAGCAGAAUUUCCCGGCAUUGCUCGGGGCUGAAUUGCUUGAAAGUACUGUUAAUGAUUGCACUGAAUUAUGAUGAUUAUUCAGGCAAAUAUUGAUAUAAGUUUACGGUGGGAGAUAAGGACUUAACGAUCAAACGUGUGCCAUUGCAUUGUUUUGGGGGAACCAAAUUUCUGAUGAGCAUUAUAGGGGCACCAACUUUAAGUUUGAGAAAGUGUGGUGGUAGUCCGGGGUGCUCAAAGGAAUUGAGUACCUCUAUUGGAUAGUUGAUGACGUCCUCUGGGUCAGGAGUUGUAUCGAUAGACUGAUAUACAUAGACUUUCCCAGGAAUGAGUUUUAGCAUUUCAUCAUUAAUAUGGUGAACAGUUUUAUUCCUCGGGGCCAGUAUAGCCUUUUUGCCAAUCCAAUCCAUAUUCUGAAAAUUAGCUUGUAGAUCUGGGAACACUGCAUCUCUGAGAUCAGAAGGCAUCUUAACAAUGGUACAAAUGGAAUCGAUGGCAAUAUUACCAUUUUCAUCCCCUGGUAUUUUGCCUUUGCCAAGUGCAAGGAGGGUGUGAGGAAAUGCUGCUGAUGUGAUAUUACAUCGCAUAUGAGCACGCAUAUUGGUGUGAAGUUUGGGAGUUACUUCCCUUUAUUAAAAAAAAUAUGCAUUAAAAUGGAAAAAAAUGAUGCUAAAUUAUUUGUAAAAUCAUAGACUCAUCGUAGACGCACGCUAAUACCCAGAAGGGCUCGAUAUGAAUCACGACUAUAAGAUACCCGGUUUUGGUUAAACUGCAUCGCAAAAUGUGGGAGUAGUUAGGAAUCUAAAUCGGAGUAGACAGACACACAACCUUUCUUUUAUAUAUAAAUAUUUUCGUCCUAAAAAACUUUGUAUGGAUUGAAUGGUUACCUCUAUGGAAAUAUAUACACGCACAUUAUACAUACAUGUGUGUAUAGAUGAAUAUAUAAAUACAUUUAAAUAUCUAUAUACACUUUUGGGCGAUCUUUCUGUUUCUUAGAGAUAACUUUAGAUCUUAUUUUCGUCCUAAAAAACUUUGUAUGGAGUGAAUGGUUACCUCUAUGGAAAUAUAUACACACACGUUAUACAUACAUGUGUGCAUAGAUGAAUAUAUAAAUACAUUUAUAUAUCUAUAUACACUUUUGGGCGAUCUUUGUGCUACUUAGAGAUAACUUUAGAUCUUAUUUUCGUCCUAAAAAACUUUGUGCGGAGUGAAUGGUUACGUCUAUGGAAAUAUAUACACACACAUUAUACAUACAUCUGUGUAUAGAUGAAUAUAUAAAUACAUUUAAAUAUCUAUAUACACUUUUGGGCGAUCUUUCUGCUACUUGGAUAUAGGUCUUAUAUUCGUCCUAAAAAACUUUCCUGUCACACACUCACGCACACGCACACACACACACACACGCACCCUCACACACAUGCACACAUACACACACACACUCACACACACGCACGUUAGCUUGCAAUUUUAUUUAUAUAUUUGCGUGUCUAUGUGUGUAAAGAGGAAGUGGGAGGCAGAGUGAAAGAGUCACUCACUACAGAAAGUGAAUUACUUUCACUUUAUUCGUUGCACACUGUGUGUGUGCGUUUGCGUGUGCUGUAUCCCACACUAAGAGAAGCAUUUGACUCAUACACCACAAUGUGAGUUUUCUCUAAAUUUUGCUUAAUUGGGGUUGAAAUUUUAAAAACUGGACCUGGCACGACCCGAUGCAUUCUACUCUUAAAAAUGCUAGGUAAAUUGUAAUUGAAGAAAUCCUAUAUUGUAGAUUUCUAUAAGAUACAAAGGGAGGCAGAUAAAAUCUGCCUUUUAUAAUAAGAUAUAUAUAUAUAUAUAUAUAUAUAUAUAUAUAUAUAUAUAUAUGGUUAAGCUUCCUUGCUUCUAUCCAAGUUCCAUUUUCAGCAUGGAAAUGCUAUUAUAUAUUUUAUUGGCAUAGGCACAAAUGUGGGGUAGAAGUUUGUUUCCCCACCACAUGGUUCCAGGAUUAGUCUCAUUGCAUGGCACUUGGGCAAGUAUCUUCUACAGUUGCCUCAGGCCAACCAAAGCCUUGUGAGUGAUUUAGUAGACACAAACUGAAAUUAUUAUGUGUGUGUAUGUAUAAAUGUGUGUGUGUGUGUGUGCGUGUGUACAUGUGCAUGUACGUGUUUGUCCCCUACCACUGCUAGACAACUGGUGUUGGUUUGUUUACAUUCCUGUAGUCUAGCAGUUCAGCAAAAGAGACUGAUAGAAUAAGUACCAGGGUUAAAAAAUAAGUACUAGGGUUGAUAUCAUUUGACUAACCCCUUCAUGCGUGUUUGUGUAUAUGUGUUUAGGGUGUGUGAUUUUGUAUGUAUGCAUGCUUCAGCAUAACAACAGUCUCAUAUCUGAAGCAUGUAAAAAGUAAAAGGUAUAUAUAUAUAUAUAUAUAUCUUUCGUAUUAUUUAAAACAAUUUGACUUGGCCUCAUGUGACUUAAGGCUUCGUAGGCUCCUUAUAGAAACUUAGUUCAUUGGGGUGUUUCCAAAAGGAGAGAUGAAGAAAGUCCAAGAUGGCUCCAGGAAAUAUGGCUGCUGUUGGUCAAGGUGGGUCGCAUGGUGUUGUUAGAAGUGAGAUUAACGUUCCAGCAUACCUGUUCUUCCAGGCAAAGAUGCACACAUUCAUAUGUAUGCAUAUAAAUACAGGAAUGUACAUGCUCAUGUUCACCGAUCCUCUGUAAUCACACAUAUUGUAAACACAUAGAUGCACAUAUGCAUAUACAACAAGCACUAAUACGCACAUUCGCAUGUGCACACAUGUACACACACACACUCUUACUCAUACGAAUGUUACUCAUGCAGCUGAUAUACACAGCUGACACACACACACCUAUACAUUCAUACACACAAGUAGUCACAGAUGGCUGAUAGGCACCCACACCCAUACACACACACACCAGCAGCCAUCUACAUAUACACCAAUGAACUGAUGCCAGGAGCUCUUACCCACACACCCACCAGCUGACACACACAUGUCCCUCCCCCUCACACACACAUAGCUGAUGCAUAGACAUCAGAAACCCACCUCUAUACAUUCAUACAUCUGGUAUAUACACACACACCCUCACUGGCCAUGGCCAUGUAUUUAAUGACCAUGUGACACCAUGUGACCUGCCUUGACCAACAACAGCCCAAUUUCUGAUAGCCAUCUCCCCAUUUGUUUAACUGCAUCCCAACAAGCUAGGUUUCUGUAAGAAGCCUGCAAAACUUUAAGUCACACGGGGCUAAAUCAAACUGUCUUAAAUAGUAAUAUAUGUAACUGCCAAUAAAUGUGUUGAGUGCAUCUUUCUUUCAUUAGUCCACUCACAAGUUUGUGUGUAUGUAUAUAUGUAUGCAUGCAUAUAUGUGUGUGUAUAUAUAUAUAUAUAUAUAUAUAAUAUAUUUGAACAAGUAAAUAUAUACUAGCUGAAUUACCCAGUAAUACCCAGAAAAGCAGGGGUUAUUUCCAUUUCCCAUUCCCAUUACACUAUUUCAUUUCCUAUCCUAUUCGCUGUUCAGUUCCUGUUAUAGUUCUGCUCUCAUUACUAUCUCCAAUCCUAUGUCAAUAUAAUUAAGCCAUUAACUAUAUGGUUGAGGAAAAAGUUUGUGCGCUGUGUUAAAAUAAGGAUUUUUUAAUGCAAGAAUUUACUCAAAAACAACAACUAUUCUUCAAAAUAAAGACCAUCGUUUUCCAUGGAUUUGGUCAAAGUACCAAUCCUUUGGGUUUGUAUCUAAAAAUUCUUGACAAGCUUCUUUGAAUGAUUCAAAUCGACAACCUUUCAUAAAGUGCUGCAUUGACUGGAAGAGACCGUAGUCAGAUGGAGCAACGUCUGGUCUAUAGGCUGGAUGCAGCAGAACUUCCAUACUGUCCAAAUCUUCAAUCUUGUUGCUGGUCUUUCUGGUGGUAUGUGGCUUUGCAUUGUCUUGUUGAAACAAAGCACGUUUUCGACAAACAAGUCUUGGGUACUUUUCAACCAGCAUAUCAUAGACUCGAUCAAGUUGCUCACAGUAAAGUUCAGCAUUGAUGGUAUGACCAUUCAGCACACAUUUGGCACAUGAACUUUUUCCUCAGUCUAAUAUUUUAUUGAUCUUUAUGGUAAUAGUUUAUUGCUAAAAAUAGAUAUUACAAACUAUUAAUAUGAUUAGUGGAUGAAUAAGGAAUGUCCCUAUAUUAUUUUGAUAAACAAAUAUGCAUCUGAAUAAAAUAAAUGAGUUGAUUAGUUAUACUGGGAAAGCGGGGAUUAUUCCCAGUUCCCUUUUACCGUUGCACUGUUCCAUGUCCUAUCCCAUUCCUGUUCAGUUCCCAUUUUAGUUCUGCUCCCAAUCCUAUGUCAGUAUAUAAAUUUUAGAAUCAGUUAGGUGUAAUUAAGCCAUUAAAUAUUUUAUUAACCUUUAUGGUAAUAGUUUAUUGCUAAAAAUAGGUAUUACAAACUAUUAAUACGAUUAGUGGGUGAAUAAGGAAUGUCCCUAUAUUAUUUUAACAAGCGAAUAAGCAUCUGAGUAAAAUGAAAUAGAUAAAUAGAUAGAUUUACAAAUACAUUGGCAGUAUUGUACAAUAGUCCAGGUAUUGUAGCUGGUAUUGUUACAUGUCAUAGCUUAUCGUAACUGAUUUGUAAACAUGUACUACAGCUCUCCCCUCACACACACACACGCACAAAUAUGUGAACAUGCACACACACACACACACACACAUACUUUCAUAAACCUAGAUAUACUAUGGCCAAAUUACUAAGGCCUCAAACAAUCAGCUGAAGGCUUUAGAAUUAUAUAUGAACACCUAUUUGAGUAAUCUUCUAUCUAUCUAUUCAAAAAUAUUUCAUUUGUAAAUUUUGUUUUCUAUCUAUUUGUCUAUUACUAUUUAUAUAUAGCUUAAGGUGGCAAGCUGGUAGAAUCAUUAUCAGGUCAGGCAGAAUGCUUGACAGCAUUUCAUCCUUCUUUAUGCUCUGAAUUCAAACUCCACCAAGGUUGAUCUUGCCUUUCAUCCUUUCAGGACAGAUAAAAUAUGUAUCAGUCAAGCACUGGGGUUGAUGUAAUCGACUAUCCCCCUUUCCCAACCUUGCUGGCCUUUUGCCUAAAUUCAAAACCAUUGGAUUUGGUCAAAGUACCAAUCCUUAGAAUCAGCGAAGGGAGUGGCUAGAUUAUUUCAAUGUCUAAGUCUUUGUUUCUGCAUUUGUUUGCUCGCAGAAUGAGUUUCACCUUCCAUCCUCCAUAUAGCAGCUUAAGAAACAUCUUUCAUCAUUAAAGUCCUAACAAUGAACGUUUUUGUACUGAUUGGAAUAUCUCCAAAUUGUGCAUUUAUGCUCACUGGCUUGUUAAAUGAAAUGAUAAACACUUUCAUUCAAAGGUAUUACCAGUUUCUCUAAGAAUUCUCUUUAUUGUCACUGAUAUCACAUAAAAGGCACCCAGUACACUUUGCAAAGUGAUUGGUAUUAGGAAGGGCAUCAACCCAUAGAAACUAUGUCAAAGCACACGUUGAAACAUGUGCAGUUCUCUGGCUGACCAAUUCCUGUUGAAACAUCUAACCCAUGCCAACAUGGAAGACAUGUUAAAUGAUGAUGACAAUGAUCAUACAACUUUUUUAUUUUUACAACCACUCUACCUUCAGUGUUAAAUCCUUUCACUAUUCUCAAAAGUUGUCUUGUCACAAAUUUGACCACCAAACAGAUCUAUAAGUGAAGAUGUUCAAACUGUGACCAUCCUGCCAUUACCCUAUGAGCUGAAAACCCAUCUACAAGGGUUGGCUGAAAAGUUCAUAAGUUGACCAAAAUACUCUCAAGGAAUGUGAUGAAGUGAAGUUUAUUUUUCAACAUAGUCCCUCUUGCAGUCCACAUGCUUCUUCCAUUGGUGUUGCAGCACUUGGAUCCCAUUGGUGAAGAAGCUUUCAUCCUGUUAAUCGAAAAAGUCAUCAACAGCAGAUAUGACAUCAUCAUCAUCACUGUGAUACUAGUUUCCAGUCAAGUGUUUUUUCAUGUUGGGGAACAGAUGAUAGUAAGUUGAGGCGAAAUCAGGAGAAUAAGGAGGCUAAUCAACCAGUUCAAAGCCACAGUCAUGCACAGUAGCCAUUGGAACCAAGGUCUUGAGUGCUGAAGCAUUGUCCUGGUGAAACAAGACUCCUUCCAUCAGUUUUCUUUGUCAUUUGAUCUUAAUAGCCUUUUGUAAGUGCUUCAGCAAGUUGGCAAAGUACUUUCCAUUGAUGGUGUGGACCUUUUGAAGACAGUCAAUAAACAAUAAACACAAUGCCUUUCGCAUCACAAAAAAACUACUGCCAUCACCUUCCUUGCAGAUGAAACGACCUUUGGAUCAGGUAAGGAAGGGUGUUUCCACUCCGAAGAUUUUCUCUUCAUCUCUAGCUCAAAGAGAUGAAGCUAACACUUAUACUGAGUUAGGAAAGAUUCAAGGAAACCAGCUGGAUUUGCUUCAAACAAUGUCAUAUUUUCCCAUGAUAUGAUCAGUCUGGUGCACUUUUGAUCAGGUGUCAGAAAUUGUGGCACCCACUGAGCAGAGACCUUCAUCAUGCCAAGUUCAUUGUGCAAAAUAUUCUAAAUUCUCACACAGGAUAUUAUCAUCAUCAUCAUCAUCAUCGUUUAAUGUCUGCCUUCCAUGCUAGCAUGGGUUGAACAGUUUCACAAUAGCUGGCCAGGCAGAAGCCUGCACCAGACUUCUGUGACUGUUUUGGCAGGAUUUUUACAGAAACAAUACUUGUAGAGCAUUCUCCACCAUUGCUAAUUUGGUCACCUAGGUAACAGAAACUAUCUACAACUUCAAAAGAGCUUCCUGGGCAUUUGAGAGAAUUUAAGUCAUGUGUGCUCUUAGUAUUUAUUGUUCCUGCACAUCUGCCACAUACAAAGACUACUUUAUCUGUUAAUCUACCUGUGAUUCCACUGCACCUCUUAUGUGUCCAUACUUUACACUAGGAUCAGUGAAUGGACUUUCUUCCAACCCCUUUCCUACAUACUGAACAGAGCUAUUUACCUAAUGAAAAAUGAGUUUUAUCUUCUUACUAACAACAACUUUGGCCUUAGCUCAGUUAACUUUAAGGCCCUUUGGUUCCAGGUUUUGUUUCCAUACCUGGAAUUUCUUCUUUAAUUCUGCUAAAGAUUCUGCAAUAAGAGUAAGGUAAGAGCAUGUAAUAGUUCCCAUGGGCACCCAGUUUUGAAUUCCUCUGUUAUAGCUUGGAAGACUAUAAUGAAUAAGAGUGGGUUGAGAACUGAGCCUUGGUGAACCCCUACCUGUAUGCUAAAUUCAUCACUAUAUUCAUGGCUGACUCCCAUCUUACUGACAGCACCACUGUAUAUACCUUAAGGCGGUGAGCUAGCAGAAACGUUAGCACGCCGGACGAAAUGCGUAGCUGUAUUUCGUCUGCCGUUACGUUCUGAGUUCAAAUUCUGCCAAGGUCGACUUUGCCUUUCAUCCUUUCGGGGUUGAUAAAUUAAGUACCAGUUACACACUGGGGUCGAUAUAAUUGACUUAAUCCGUUUGUCUGUCCUUGUUUGUCCUCUCUGUGUUUAGCCCCUUGUGGGUAGUAAAGAAAUAUGUAUAUACCUUGUACAGCUCUAACAAGUCACUCCCCUACUCCUAACUUUCUUAGAGACCACCAUAUAACAGAGCAGGGAACUCUGUCAAAAGCUUUCCCCAGAUCGACGAAGGCUAAGUACAAAGGCUUACUUUUGGCCAAGUACUCUUCCGCAGCUGUCUCACUCGGAAGAUAGCAUCUGUGGUAAUCUUCCCAGGUACAAAACCAAACUGCAUCUCAUCUAUUUAAUUCUGUUUCUAAUUAAUUCAUCUAUAACCCUCUCAGUAACUUUAAUGACUUGGUCUAGCAAUUUAAUACCUCGGUAUUUGUUUCUAUCUAAGGCAUCACCUUGUAGCAGCUAACUAUAAUACUACUAGAUCAGUCAUUGAGGAUGGUGCCUUCCUGAAUAACUUGAUUAACUAUAUGGGUGACUAAACUGUAUCCUACACCACUGGAAAUUUUAAUCAUUUUGGCACUGAUUCCCUGUCUUCAUGUCCUUAAUUAUUCUUCUAUCAACUCUGAUGACUGGUUCUUCAAUUGGUUCGAUAUUUGGUAGACUCCCCUUCUCCCAUUCAUUUUCCACAUUUAGUAACCUUUCAUAAUGAGACUUCCAUGCAUCUUUCUUCACUGAGUCACUAAGAGCAAGCAUACUAUUAUCCAUUCACACACAUUUAUCACACACCACAUCUCUAUUUUGUCUGAUACACUGCUUUGCAAUCCUGAGCAAUGGCUAUUUGAUUUAUAGUAAAUUGCCUGUGAUGAAAAUGAUCAAUGUUUUCCUCAGUGGGGGCAGUUGCAUGACAUCCAGACUUUGUCAUCUUCAAGACUCUCCCUUCUUCUAAAUUCAGCUGCCCAUGUUUGCACUGUUGAUAAAGCUGGAGCAUCAUCCCCUAAAGUAGCAACUAUGUCAGCAUGAAUGUCAUUGGGGGCUAAACCUUUUUUCUGCAGGUACUUGAUAACAGCACAAUGCCAAAUUUUGUCUAUUUUCAAGAGAAGUCACUACUAGUUAAGAGAAUUGUUAGUGCGUUGGACCAAUAUUUAGUGGCAUUUUUUCCAGCUUUUUACAAUGUUAGUUUCAAUUUUGCCAAGGUCAAUUUUGUCUUCCAUCUUUUGGGAGUUGAUGAAAUCAGUACCAGUCAAGUACUGGGGUUGAUGUAAUGAACUUGCACCUUUCCCUCAAAACUGCUGGCUUUGUGCCAAAAUUAUAGAAGAUCAUUAUUAUUAUUAUUAUUAUUAUUAUUAUUAUUAUUAUUAUAAAAAAAAUGAAAAAAACAACACUUUUGUGACCUUGUAAAUUGAUCUUUCGGAUUUAUAUUUGUAUUCAUCUCUGGUAAAUGAAUCUUGUUUAUUCUCCCAAUUGGGUUUUUCUUUAUUGCAUCUAAAAUCUUAUUGACUAAAAAAUAUUUGUCUGGCUGAAUAUGAAGAUGAUCUCAUUUGUGAAAGGUGUCAACCUUCAACCAACUUUACUUAUAUAUGCACACAAUCUUUAUAGAUAAAAUUCAUAUCAUAAUAUGGAUAUAUUUUCAGCUUUCUAUAUUAAAUUCUCAUCCUGUUUGAAUAAAGAAUAUAUAGAAAAACAUUUUAUGUUGAUGGGUUUUAUUGACAGGCCCACCAUACAGAUAUUAGGAUUUAUUUUUCUUUACUUCCUAGUAAAAAGAUAUGUAUAUGCUUGCAUGAAUCAUAAACAUUUGCUUCAUAUUUACUUGUAUAUAUUGGGCAGGUCGCCAUAUAUUCAAUUUCCAUGGGAUUUUAUCUUUAACAUUUUAUCCUUAAAACUAACUACAUUUUCUCAAUUUUUCUAAAGCCUUCUUUUACUGCCUUCUUGCUAAUCUUUUAGUAAAUAAUAAUAUUAAAUUACUCAUCUGAUUCUAAUUUCUGAACAAUAUGUUCAUGGUGUUUUUGUUCAUUUACACAAGGCAUUUGAUACUAUGCACACUUUGUUAAUUAAUGUCCCUGUAAUAUUAGAAAUAUAUCAAUUACUAUGUCUCUCUAUUCUAUUUUGUGGUGCACUUUACAAGUACAUUGAUUUCAUUAUGAUGCUAAUUCACUUGUCUAAGAAAUAUCUAAAACAAUAAAAUAAAUAAAUAGUUCUUUCUAUUAUAGACACAAGACCUGAAAUUUGAAGAUGGAGAGGGGCUAGUCAAUUAUAUCAACCCAAGUGCUCAACUGGCACUUAUUCUAUUGACCCCAGAAGGAUGAAAGGCAAAGUUAAC
Molecule: long non-coding RNA, 28065 nt
Filed under: Octopus vulgaris (common octopus)
Lineage: Eukaryota; Metazoa; Mollusca; Cephalopoda; Octopoda; Octopodidae
Source: RNAcentral